Long non-coding RNA from Podarcis raffonei (Aeolian wall lizard), 1542 nucleotides. RefSeq lists it as uncharacterized. NCBI's taxonomy places the organism in Eukaryota, Metazoa, Chordata, Lepidosauria, Squamata, Lacertidae. The record is from RefSeq and is a predicted model, not a curated record. The transcript has 2 exons.
AGUAAUAGUAAUAGUGAGGGGCCUUUUGUGGGACAUUAUUACAGUCAAACUCAUAUUUUGUCAGAUAAGCGCAUGAAGAGGCUGAGGUUCAAAGAGCUUUCCUGUUAAAUUUGCUAGAGAGAACUCUGUGACAUCUCUUCCUUUUUGCCUUGGCAGGAAGCUGAAACACUACAUCCUUCCUUCCUGCCUGAGCAUCUCUCUCUUUCCCUCAUGCCUCCAAGCUGACUACUCAGACAACAUUUUGAACUUAGAUUUUGUGCUUUUGUAACUUAGUAGUUAUAAACCUGCCUUCAUUUUGCUACUGUAAACUGCUGCUUCAAGACCUAGCUUAGGACAUUCCCUGCGGGUUUUUACACCGGGAGGCUCCCUGAAUGACAAGUACCGGGCUCCUGCUUUUCUCUGCUAUCACGCUGGCGAGCAACUGGGACUGGGGUCCGGCUGAUUUCACAUCCUGGCGGUUUUGUUCUCUAAUCUGCAAGUGGAAAUGAAGGAAAAGAGGAGAAAGUUUGUGGUCUGUGGGAUUGAAGCAAUGCCCCUGAAGAAGAGAAAGCAACACGCAAAGUUUCUUGGUGCCAUCAGGGGCUGUGGAUCAGGACCAGGCUCCCUGUUACCAGCACUAACGGGAUACCUGGCUGCAGUUCUGACCUAGUCCAGCGCAUUGCAGGGGGUAGGACGAGGUGACUUCCAACCCUACAAUUCUGUGACUCUACACUGCAUUACACCAGCUCUCCCCAUUGUAUUUCUGCUAGGGAGAGAGGCUGCGGGGAUUCUUCCCCAAUACACAAUUCCCAGGAUUAUUUUGGGGAUGCCAUAGCAACGGAGACAGUACCAACAGAGAUGGAAAGUGUCCAAAGAGCAAAUGGGAAGGAGGCGGCUGUACCUUAUUCCUCAUUUCCAGAACUUCUUGUGGGUCUGUGUAGAGAGGCACAAAUUGGUUUGGGUUUUCAAUUCGGAUCGGUGUUCCACUGCUGGUUUUCUCCACCUCGUCUGCUUUCAUCCACUGGGCAGCAUGAAAAGUCAAGGGCAAAUUGUAAGGGCAAAGGGAGGUCUCUUAAGGGUGGAGAAAGGGCACAGAGGGAUUCCUUAGCUGGGAUUCUGGCACUGCAAGGGGUUGGACUGGAUGAUCCUUGGGGUCCCUUCCAACUUCGCAAAUGAUCUGCAAAGCUGAGAGGCAGGAUGGGAUUUGGGGCUUCUGAAUUCAAACUGAUGAGUCAGCUUUUGUAUCCACACUGAGAAAGAGCCCGGAUAUGUAAGGCUACAGACAUUCAGGUUCCUAAUUCAGCAAGAAGAGCUUUUCAGAUCAUUGUGACCCCCAUCUUCUCUCGCUCACCUCACUGUGUGGGCCCUGCUGUCAUGUGACUAGUCCUCAUGAACUGUAUAAUCUGCCACUACUGAAGGUCACAACUCUUAUUACCUAUUUCCUGAUUGUCACUGAAAACAGAAAAGUAUGUCCUCUGAUUUUCUGAAUAGUCCAAGGCAGAAAUUUUCUUGAAAUGAGUUAAAUGGCCUGACUGAAUUAAAACAGCUUUUUGAAUCUUUAAA